RNAcentral lists this ribosomal RNA (253 nucleotides) under uncultured Lachnospiraceae bacterium. RNAcentral's name for it is "partial 16S ribosomal RNA". It matches the Rfam family "Bacterial small subunit ribosomal RNA", at positions 524 to 776 of the family's 1533-position model. Lineage: Bacteria; Bacillati; Bacillota; Clostridia; Lachnospirales; Lachnospiraceae. The record is from RNAcentral.
UACGUAGGGGGCGAGCGUUAUCCGGAUUUACUGGGUGUAAAGGGAGCGUAGACGGUUAAUCAAGUCUGAAGUGAAAGCCCGCGGCUCAACUGCGGAACGGCUUUGGAAACUGAGUAACUGGAGUGCUGGAGGGGCAGGCGGAAUUCCUAGUGUAGCGGUGAAAUGCGUAGAUAUUAGGAGGAACACCAGUGGCGAAGGCGGUCUGCUGGACAGCAACUGACGCUGAGGCGCGAAAGCGUGGGGAGCAAACAGG